GACGAACGCUGGCGGCGUGCCUAAUACAUGCAAGUAGAACGCUGAAGGAGGAGCUUGCUUCUCUGGAUGAGUUGCGAACGGGUGAGUAACGCGUAGGUAACCUGCCUGGUAGCGGGGGAUAACUAUUGGAAACGAUAGCUAAUACCGCAUAAUAGUAGAUGUUGCAUGACAUUUGCUUAAAAGGUGCAAUUGCAUCACUACCAGAUGGACCUGCGUUGUAUUAGCUAGUUGGUGAGGUAACGGCUCACCAAGGCGACGAUACAUAGCCGACCUGAGAGGGUGCUCGGCCACACUGGGACUGAGACACGGCCCAGACUCCUACGGGAGGCAGCAGUAGGGAAUCUUCGGCAAUGGACGGAAGUCUGAACGAGCAACGCCGCGUGAGUGAAGAAGGUUUUCGGAUCGUAAAGCUCUGUUGUAAGAGAAGAACGAGUGUGAGAGUGGAAAGUUCACACUGUGACGGUAUCUUACCAGAAAGGGACGGCUAACUCCGUG
This 495-nucleotide ribosomal RNA is filed under the name uncultured bacterium. Its description in RNAcentral is "partial 16S ribosomal RNA". It matches the Rfam family "Bacterial small subunit ribosomal RNA", at positions 28 to 507 of the family's 1533-position model. The record is from RNAcentral.